This 516-nucleotide ribosomal RNA is filed under the name Escherichia coli. RNAcentral describes it as "partial 23S ribosomal RNA". It matches the Rfam family "Bacterial large subunit ribosomal RNA", at positions 1234 to 1751 of the family's 2925-position model. Lineage: Bacteria; Pseudomonadati; Pseudomonadota; Gammaproteobacteria; Enterobacterales; Enterobacteriaceae. The record is from RNAcentral.
GAGCGUUCUGUAAGCCUGUGAAGGUGUACUGUGAGGUAUGCUGGAGGUAUCAGAAGUGCGAAUGCUGACAUAAGUAACGAUAAAGCGGGUGAAAAGCCCGCUCGCCGGAAGACCAAGGGUUCCUGUCCAACGUUAAUCGGGGCAGGGUGAGUCGACCCCUAAGGCGAGGCCGAAAGGCGUAGUCGAUGGGAAACAGGUUAAUAUUCCUGUACUUGGUGUUACUGCGAAGGGGGGACGGAGAAGGCUAUGUUGGCCGGGCGACGGUUGUCCCGGUUUAAGCGUGUAGGCUGGUUUUCCAGGCAAAUCCGGAAAAUCAAGGCUGAGGCGUGAUGACGAGGCACUACGGUGCUGAAGCAACAAAUGCCCUGCUUCCAGGAAAAGCCUCUAAGCAUCAGGUAACAUCAAAUCGUACCCCAAACCGACACAGGUGGUCAGGUAGAGAAUACCAAGGCGCUUGAGAGAACUCGGGUGAAGGAACUAGGCAAAAUGGUGCCGUAACUUCGGGAGAAGGCACGC